ACAUUCAUAUAUAUAUAUAUAUAUUCAUGGAGCAUGUAAUCAUAUAAUCAUAUUAAUAAUCAAGAGCCAGACUCAAUUAGAAUCUCAUGCUCCCUAGUACAAUAUGCAGGUAAAGACUUUACAUUCUAUUUAAGUAGUUAAGCACAUAACCACAUAAAUAGUUACCAUACCCUGAGUGAAGCUAUCUUUAGUGACGAGUGUACUUGCCCAUCUUGUCUUCGGGAACCCUUAACCUUGGCUUGCUCUGAUACCAAGUGUGUAACACCCUACUACCCAGGGAGCGUUACGUUGUGCAUUUUAAACAGUGCUAAACUCGCUAACCGAGCCAUUUGUUCAUAAUCAUGUAACUAAGUGUGAUUAACGGUUUAGGGUUAAAUUUUUUUGUCAAAGAUACAAUGUUUCAUUAAAACAUUUACUAUAUACACUGGGAUCGCAAAAUAUAAUUUAAAGGUUAAUUACAAUAAAAUAUUUACAACCAGAUGACCAAAGCGGCAAAAUAGGGUUUAACCGUAGUUCCUCUAUAAACCCUUGGCCGUGGCGGUCGAGCAGCAGCAUAUGUACACAUCUUCACCUAAGCUCUCCAACUCAAGGAUGGUCCUGCUUUCUUUUGCCUUUACCUGCACCACAUAGCACCCGUGAGCCGAAGCUCAGCAAGAAAACUCAAUAUGCUCAUGAACAAGUAAUAACAUGUUACUAAAUCACUAUAUACAUUCCUAGUAGUAAUAACCCUACUCAUGCAUGCAAGUAGGUACAAAUAAAUGUUUGUGGAGUCCUGCACUCUGAGUAGAUGACUAAUAAGUCACUCACUCUGAGGUAGAUUACUAAUAAGUCUCUCUAAGGUAGACGACUGAUAAGUCUCUCUAAAUAGUUAACAAAUAAGUCACUCUCAAAAUAGAUGACUGAUAAGUCUAUCUCUGUGUAGAUGACUGAUAAGUCUAUCUCUAGACAGGUGACUAAUGAGUCACAGUCUGGAUAGAUGACUAAUGAGUCACACUCUGUAUAGGUGACUAAUGAGUCACACUCUGAAUAGGUGACUAAUGAGUCACACUCUGGAUAGGUGACUAAUGAGUCACACUCUUUGGGCUAUGCACCCUAAUCAGAUAAGUGACUAAUGAAUGAGUCACAAACUUGGGCUCAGCCCCCACAUCCAUGUGACAUUGCAGUCACCUGAGCCAUUUGGCCCUGGCUCUAAGUAACUAGCCUUUAGACUAGACAAGCGCUUUUGUUUUCAUCAAACUUAAGGUCGAUAAAACAUUUCAUGCUUAUGAUGAUAAUACUUAUGUCGAUUAGUAAUAAUCUUUUCAACUUAUGUUAAACACGCUAAUAUCGUUCUUGACUCAUAAGCCAAUACCAUACGACCAGUGCUCAGUAUUACUGCCGAACUUGACAAAUGAGUCACAGCUUCCUCAAUGAGGUAAUGCAAACAAACAUGUAUCAUAUGUCAAAUAUUCAGAUAUAAGGCAUUUAGCAUGCUUAAUAAAUAAUCAUAAGCAUAAUUAUAAUCAUGCACAAUUACAAAGCCUCAAGCUUUUAUCAAUCUCAUAUUCAACUUUCAUGCCAUGCCCUAAUCUCAUGUAUCUUGUGCAUCACAUGCAUCACAUAUUGGGUAUAGUUUUCUUAUAUCUGGUUCGAGGGAGAAAUAAGUUAAAAAUGACCCUUGAGAACGAUCAAUCCUUUGAUCCCUUAUCAGUCACCUAGUCAUAACCAAAUAUGGAAUUCCAUCAAUAAAAUCAACAAUAAAAGGUUCAUGAUCUAAACCUCGCUCCCGGGACCUCAAAUCCCACUAACAAGGUUAAUAAAUUUGAUCUCGAGCCUUAAGAAUUGAUACCACGAGUCAAAAACCCUAAAAAGUGCCCUGGAAAAACAGGGUAGCGCUACAGCAUUGUCGCCCAGGCGCUAUGACACUACAAGCAGAGCUACCAUGCCCUGGACAGUGUUGUAGUGCCAGAACCAUGGUAUUCCAACCCUAGUUUUUCCCCCUUCGAGUUUUCCAAUUUCCAAACUUCAAAAACUGCUUCCAAACCUCAACUAAACACAAAAAUGAACCCAUAAACCAAUCCUACAAGUCUUAGGCAUCAAAACCCAAUAAAAGUUUUCCAAAAACUUCAUUGAAUUCGCAACUAUCAAAUCCAAAAUUCCAACUAAAAACUAACUGAAAAAAAAUGUCGCUACAGCCAGAGUUGACAUGCACUAGAUAGUGUUGUAGCGCCAGAACCAGGGUAUUCCAGCCCUGGUUUUUCCUCUUUGAGUUCUCCACUUUCAAAACUUCAAAAGCUGCUUCCAAACCUCAACUAAACCCAAAAAUGAAUCCAUAAACCAAUCCUACUAGUCUUAGGCAUCAAAACCCAAUCAAAUUUUGCCAAAAACUUUAUUGAAUUCACAACUAUCAAAUAAAAAAUUCCAACUGAAAACUAACUGAAAAACAGGGCAUAAACUAGAGAUUUCAUGGCUGAAUUUCUUACCUCAAACUCAGGAUUAGACCCUCUUCAAUGGAUGAACACAAUCCUAAACCCCCAUGCCUUGAUUCCCUUGCUUGAAUCCUCAAUUGGAGCUUCAAAAUUUCAAAGGAAAUAGGAGAAAUAGAUGUUCGGGAGGAAGAGGAAGAAACGUGCUCUGUUUUUACUGCUUAAGCUUCCUUCUACAACUUUCUAGUUGAAUAUAUCCCUUGGUCAAAUGACCAAAAUGCCCCUAGGUUAAAUAAUUUCCUUUCAAGGCUAGCAAGGGAAAAAUCGCCAUUUUUCAUCCAUCUCAUUAAUUAUAACUAACGUCCUCCAAUUCCCGUUAUUCCCAAUAUUCUCAAAUACUAAUAAAUCAUAUCCCAUUACCCUAUAAUUCCCGAUAAUGUACUAAUCAUCAAAUUAUCCUGAGACUCACCCUGGGCCGGGAAAUUAACCCCGUUAUGACAAAACCGCUAACAUCCAUUCAAAGAUCGUCUCAUGUCGAAUAGCUCGAAUAAAUCCACAUUAUAAUGUGGCCUCAUUCAUAAUUCACCAACAUGCAUGAAAAUAUACAAAUAUGCCCUCAACGGGCCAAAUUACCAAAAUGCCUUUAUAAUUAAAAGUGGACCCAUAUGCAUGCAUUUAUCAUCAUAUAAUAAUAUAACUCACAUAAUCAUGCAUAUAAUCAUUUAAUGACAUAAUAAUUCAUUUAUGUCCCUCCCAGCCUCCUAAUCAAGGUCCUAAGCCUUAUUAGGAAAUUUGGGUCAUUACAAAUACAUUAUGAUAAAACAUUGUUGUGAUAUUUGUAUUGAUUCAUACUAAUUUUUUAUACAUUUAUGAAUGGAUCAUAAAAUUUGGAUUCGAAAAAAAUAUCUAUCUAAGUCAAAGAACCUAAAAUGGAUCCAAGAUUAACAUUAUCAUAUGUUUAGUACUUGGUUAGAGAGUAAGGUAUUGAUUUAAGUAAAUAAUUUUAUAUCUUUUGUUUUGAUUGCAUGACAUGUCAUUAAUUUUUAUUUCAUUUUUGGUUUUUAACAAAGACUGCAAUUGAAGUGACUCAAACAUCAAGUCAUGUGUCAAACAUAGUUAAGUGGAUUUCCCGUGGUCCUUCUCUGAAUGUGUUUAAGUACCCAUCAUACAUUGUGAAUGGUACUCAAUUCAAUACUUUGGAACGAGAUAAUGUAAGAACCACACAGAAUAGUGCAGUUUGUAUUGAAGAAAAACUCUCUAGUUCAAAGGACAAAAAUCCUGUAGAGUGUGAUAUGACAUUUUAUGGACUAAUCUAAGAAAUUUGGGAAUUAGAUUAUAUUACAACUAGAGUGCCAGUCUUCUUAUGUGAUUGGGUGUAAAGUGAUAAGGGAGUAAAUGUUGAUGAUUUAGGUUUUACAUAUGUUGAUUUAAAUCGAAUUGAGCACAUAAAUGAUCAUUUCAUAAUGGCAACACAAGCCAAACUAGUUUUUUUAUGUGAAUGAUCCAUCAGACAAGCAAUGGUCAGUCGUGGUUCCUACUCAACCGAUAUAUUGGAGAGACAAAGAGAAUGAUGUACAUGACCUGCCACUUCUUCAGCAACCUGUCACAAUUCCUGAACCAUAGCUUACCGAAUACCCUAUUGAUGAUGGUGUAGAUGACGAUGAUAUUUGUUUGCGUUUUUAUGAUAUUUUCAUGCCGUAUCCAGAAGGUUUUGAUGUUGAUUGUCCACUUCCUGGACUUGAUGAUGAUUGCUUACUUCCUGGGCUAGAUGAUGUUGGUCAGGAGGAGAAUGAUGAAGAUGGUAUAGAGGAGGUGGGAUUUGUUAGAGGACUAUGUACCAUCCUCGACAUAGCCAAGAUGCGAAGUGAAGGUGUUAAGGUACCGAUCAAGUUCAACGAAUAUGGACAAGUGAUUGGUACAACGAGAUCAAAAUUAGGAUCAAUGAUCAGAUCAACUUUAAAGUGGUAUGCUUCAAUUACCCAUGCGAGUUGGGAUAAUGUCCUAGAAUCAGACAAAGAAAAAUUUAAGGAUAUCAUUAAGGCUACGUUUGACAUAGACUAUAAAGCAAAAAGAAAAAUUAUGUCAGGGGCGGCAAAACAAUGGAGAUCAUUCAAAUCCUAUUUGACUAAAGUAUGCAUCCACGAUAAGCUAGACGUAAAUCCAACCAUCAAGAUGUUCAAAAUGCCAAGAGGUUGCUCACAGUUGAUCACUAAAACAGAAUGAGAUAAGUUAUGUGUUUCUUGUAUGACUGAUGAUUGGAAGAAAAAAAAGAAAAAUACAUCAAGAUCUUCGAAAAGAAAAAGAAACACGACCAUCAUAUGUUACGAGGUGGGUAUCUGUUGGUAGUGAAAAGGCUGCAACAACAAAAUUUUGGACUCGAGGUGUCUAAAAUCGACAGGUCAUAGUUUGUGUUGGUGGGACAUUCUAACAAAAAGGGUGAGUCAAUUGGUGCCGAGGCAACAAGCGUAGCUCGCAUAUAGAGCACUUUAGUCAGCUCAUGAGUGAUGGAAAAUUUGAACUGGAUGGGUCUAAGGAUGUGCUUACUAUGGCAUUAGGCACCCCUGAGAAUAGAGGUUGAGUGAGGGAAAUUGGGCUCGGUGUAACGCCUAGCCAAUUUUAAAAAACCCCACGAUCCAGUAAGAUGAAGGGAAAAUAAUUUGAGACUUCCUCAGUUGACGCUCGAUUUGCAAUGAUGGACGAAAAAUACCAUCAACAAGAUGAAACAAUGAAACAACAUCAGGAAAUUAUUAAACGACAAGAGCAAAUGAUGCGACAAUUUAUGGAACAGAUGAAAGGAGAACGUAGUGGCUUUGGAGGAUCUCCUCAUUUGUUAGUGCCACACUAUGGAUCACCCAUAGAUCAGGCGACACCAUCUCAUCAGGCAUCACCAUAAUCGCAGCAUCAACCUCUAGCACCAUCGCCCCCACAACUAGAGGAGGCACCUAUAUUUAUCCCCACUCCUGGCUCAAAUAAGGGUCGAUCACCAAAGUCGUUGGUAGGGGAUACAUUCUUGUUACUAGUAGCAUAGACAUCCAUGGGGAAAACUACCGCGACGCAAUUGAGUUUGCUGACCAACCUAAUGCUCUACUAGUUCACCCGAUCCCUACCAGUGAGAUUUAUAUGGUCAAACAAUUAGGACAUUGAUACAUUGGCCUAAGUUGCUAGUCAUCUUCAAUGCAGCGACACAGGAGGUCGUGAAAAAAACAGGAAAUCAAGCUAGGAAAAAACUUCUCUACCAUUCGCACCACCAACACAAAAACUAGUUCCAAAACGAGCACCUAAGGCGUCAUUGUCACAAGAGGUGCAACAACCUUCUCCGUUGUCGCCUAAGUUGAGACAAGUAUAUGAUAUCGUCAAUGAUUGGCCUAAACAUGAUUAUGCCAUUGAAGUGUCCAUUGACUUUGGUGUGUUUGGCCAUGCUUGUGAAUACUUUUCUCUGUUUCGGGAUGAAAUACUUGAAUUUUGUAGAAAGGAGAUGGUUGGACAAUCAUGCAUUGUGUUCUACAUGAGAUAGUCGUGCUCAAGUUUAUGUGAUAGGAUGUUAUACUGAACGUCUAAAAUGCAUGAUUGGAUAAUUAUGCCUUAUAACCAUGGUUCACCUCUGACAAACCUUAUUCUACUCAAGAAAUUGACGAAGUUUGAGAAGAAUAGGCGAUGUCAUUUUUACAAUUGGUUGGAGAAAAAUGAAAGAUGUUAUAAUAGCUAGCUUACAAUACAUGUAGAGAAAUUUAAAUUUCUUUUAAAUUUAUUUUUUUAGUAUUUUCUUUUCAAAUUUCUUUUAAUACAUUUUGGACACUCAAAGGGAUAUGUUUUUUAAAUCAAAAUGAAAAUUGUA
Long non-coding RNA from Humulus lupulus (European hop), 6240 nucleotides. RefSeq lists it as uncharacterized. The record is from RefSeq and is a predicted model, not a curated record. The transcript is spliced from 8 exons. Lineage: Eukaryota; Viridiplantae; Streptophyta; Magnoliopsida; Rosales; Cannabaceae.